GUGUUCACUUCAGCAGCACAUAUACUAAAACUGGAAUGAUACAGAGAAAAUUAGCACGGCCCCUGCCCAAGGGUGAUACGAAAAUGUGUAAAGCAUUCCACAUUAAA
Molecule: small nuclear RNA, 107 nt
Organism: Octodon degus (degu)
Lineage: Eukaryota; Metazoa; Chordata; Mammalia; Rodentia; Octodontidae
Source: Ensembl